Gossypium arboreum is the source of this 3041-nucleotide RNA transcript. It is a transcript of the gene named receptor-like protein 53, with no coding region annotated. The transcript has 8 exons. The record is from RefSeq and is a predicted model, not a curated record. Lineage: Eukaryota; Viridiplantae; Streptophyta; Magnoliopsida; Malvales; Malvaceae.
GUCAAAAAUCUUGGACCGAUUACAUUUUGAGCCGAGUUCAAACGCGAAUUUUAACCGCACCGCUUUUAAUAAUCCUUUUCUUCCACAUUUCACAGUUCGUGAAGGGCAAGCAAACCAAAAAGCCUAAAAUAGUUAUUGACUUUGAACUUUAUCUUUUCUUAGAUUCAAGGAUUGAAAGAUCAAAGAGAAGCAAAACGAGAGCGUGAUUUAUCAAAUUCGACAAAAAAAAAAGUAAUAAAUCGAACGGAAAUGGAGAAAGAGAGCGAGUUGAUUCGGCGAUGUAUAGAAGCAGCUUGCCAAAGCAAAGAGAGCGUGGAGAAAUGGCGGAGACAAAGAAGAACUCUGGAGCGAUUGCCUUCUCACCUUUCUCAGUCUCUGCUUCGGAACCUCCUCCGUCGUCGCCUUCUCUUCCCUUCCUUGCUCGAAGUGUUCAAAUAUAGUGUGGAGGAGAUAGAUCUUAGAGGAGAGAAUUCUGUUGAUGCGGAAUGGAUGGCGUAUUUAGGCGCAUUUCGUUAUCUACGAUUACUUAAUCUCGGUGAUUGUCACAGAAUUAAUAAUUCUGCUAUUUGGCCCAUAGUAGGGAUGACUAGUCUAAAGGAGGUGGACCUUUCGCGAUGCAUGAAGGUUACUGAUGCUGGCGUUAAACACCUUAUAUCCAUUUCAACUUUGGAAAAGUUAUGGAUUUCAGAGACUGGGGUAACUGCGAAUGGGGUUGCGCUGCUUGCAUCACUUAAGAAUUUGUCUGUAUUAGACUUGGGUGGUUUGCCUGUUACAGAUUCCUCAUUGAAGUCUCUUCAGGCAUUGACAAAGCUACGGUACCUUGAUCUUUGGGGGAGUAAAAUAUCUAACCAAGGGGCUUUGGUCCUUCAAAGGUUCCCUAAACUGAGCUUCCUCAAUCUUGCUUGGACCAAUGUUACACGCUUUCCAAAUUUGUCUGCUCUUGAAUGUUUGAAUAUGAGUAAUUGUACCAUUGAUUCUAUCCUUGAAGGCAAUGGUGAUAAAGCUCCUUUGCUGAAACUUGUUUGUGCUGGAGCAACUUUCAUGAAUGAGGCUGAGGCCUUUUUAUAUAUCAAGACAAGUUCCUUAUCUUUGUUGGAUGUAUCCAAAUCUUCCCUUAGCCGGUUUGGCAUUUUAGCUGAUAUGCAAAUGCUUGAACAUUUGGAUCUCAGCUCUGGCACCAUGGGGGAUGAUUCUGUUGAAAUGAUUGUAUGUAUUGGAGCCAAUCUGAAAAAUCUAAAUCUAAGCAGCACAAGAGUCAGCUCUGUCGGAAUCGGGAUUUUAGUCGGACAUGUUCCCAAACUUGAAAAUUUAUCUUUAUCUCACACAGCAAUCGACGAUGUUGCCUUGUCGUAUAUCGGCUUGAUGCCUUCACUUAAGUUUAUCAACUUAAGCAGCACAAACAUUAAAGGUUUUAUUCUCCAGCCAGGUACUGAGUCGCAUGUGGAUAGCACACUAACAGCACUUCAAAAUCUUAGUUAUCUGGAGAGCUUAAACUUGGAGCAUACACAAGUUAGGGAUCCGGAUUUGCACCCUUUAUCGAGUUGCAAAAAACUGAGCCAUUUAUCUCUCAAAUGUGCGUCUCUUACAGAUGCCACUUUGCAUCUCCUUUCGUCUCUCCCAAAGCUGACAACACUUCAUGUCUGUGAUGCUGUGUUAACAACUAAUGGUCUGGACGCAUUUAGCCCACCAACAACACUGAGAGUACUGGACCUGAUGGGUUGUUGGCUUUUAACUGAAGAUGCUAUCUCACAAUUCAUAAAGAAACAUCCUCAAGUUGAGAUACGACACGAAAUUGUUCAAAACCUUUCAACAGAGCAGCAAACAAUUUCGAACUGCCUAUCCACAUCACAACAAUCUUUGAAGGGACCUCAAUGGAACAAAAAGCAGGGAAAUCUGCCUAUGCCUCAGUUUUUUGUUGAUCAAAGAUUGAAAUAUAACAGAGAGGAGCUACUUGCGCUACAGUUUUCACCUCUAGCCCUUCAAUCUCCCCAUGAUGCAGUUACUGUGCCACCGCGUAUAAUCGUUGAUAGUGACGGUGUUUCGCUUGACAAUCCAGCAUAUGUUCAAUAUGAAUAGAAGACUCUGUUCUCUUGGCGUGGCUUCUCUGCACAGUAAGUGCCUCGCUUCACAAUUAACUAAUUGGAAGUUUUUCAUUUGCAUAUGUUCUGUGGGAAGCUUUGAUAAGAAUAUUUGGCACCUAAUCGACAAUUAAGGCUAUGCGAUAUCAGUCUCUUCUUAAUCAUUUCAAAAAGAAUGAUUUUUCCAUUUCGACAUAUCUGGUAGAAAUAAAAUAUCUUUGCAAUUCCUUAGCUGGAUGUGGUCAACUUGUGUCAAUCGAAGAGCAACAGUCAGCCAUUCUCAAUGGUCUUCCUCCAAAGUUCGAUCAUGUGGUCUCUAUCAUCACCAUAAGUCAGGUUCCUUUUGAUUUGCAAGGAAUCGCAACAGCUCUACUUGAUGUCGAAGCAAAACAACAGGCUCAUCUUUCUCAUGUUAGUUUCUCUGCUAAUUUUGUUGAAGCAGAUAAGACGUCUUCCACUUCUUCGAAUCUUCUUGGGUAUGCUGGUCACCCACCGCCACAAUUAUUUAGGUUGACUCGAGGCUCUGGUUAUUUUUGUGGAGGGGGUCGUGGUCGUUCUCGGUCGCAGUGUUAGAUUUGCGGCAAAAUCGGGCAUUUAGCUCAUCGGUGUUACUAUAGGAUCUGGCAACUCACAGGAUGAUAUUUCAAGGUGUUGAGUCCAAUGGAUUGUAUCGUUUUUUUCCUGCCACCUCUAAUUUUUUACUCAACUCUACAACAACGACGAAUGCUGACUUAGGUCAGAAAUUUGAUUUGUUUAGUCGAUGGCACCAGCGACUUGGUCAUCCAUCAUGCGAUGUUGUUCGUCAAGUUUUAAAUUCUUGCAAUAUUAGUAUACCUAAAAACAAAUCAUUUACUCUUUGUAAUGCUUGUGGGCUUGGUAAAGGGCAUAAACUACCCUUUGCUGCUUCUUCAUCUAUGUAUUCUUCUCCUCUUGAGCUUAUGGUAACUGACUUAUGGGGUCUUA